CAGUCGCCACGGUAAUACGUAGGGUGCAAGCGUUAAUCGGAAUUACUAGGCGUAAAGCGUGCGCAGGCGGUUUGUUAAGACAGAUGUGAAAUCCCCGGGCUCAACCUGGGAACUGCAUUUGUGACUGGCAAGCUAGAGUGUGGCAGAGGGGGGUGGAAUUCCGCGUGUAGCAGUGAAAUGCGUAGAUAUGCGGAGGAACACCGAUGGCGAAGGCAGCCCCCUGGGCCAACACUGACGCUUAUGCACGAAAGCGUGGGGAGCAAACAGGAUUAGAUACCCCCGUAGUCCCUGUCUCUUAUAC
RNAcentral lists this ribosomal RNA (301 nucleotides) under uncultured bacterium. Its description in RNAcentral is "partial 16S ribosomal RNA". It matches the Rfam family "Bacterial small subunit ribosomal RNA", at positions 509 to 807 of the family's 1533-position model. The record is from RNAcentral.